Molecule: ribosomal RNA, 478 nt
Filed under: uncultured bacterium
Lineage: Bacteria
Description: partial 16S ribosomal RNA
Rfam family: Bacterial small subunit ribosomal RNA
Source: RNAcentral
GAUGAACGCUAGCGGCAGGCCUAACACAUGCAAGUCGAGGGAGAAGCCCUUUCGGGGGCAGAAACCGGCGCACGGGUGCGUAACGCGUAUGCAACCUACCUUUCACAGGGGGAUAGCCCGAAGAAAUUUGGAUUAAUACCCCAUAAUAUUAUUGGAUGACAUCAUUUGAUAAUUAAAACUGCGGUGGUGAAAGAUGGGCAUGCGUCCUAUUAGCUAGUUGGAGUGGUAACGGCACCCCAAGGCUACGAUAGGUAGGGGUCCUGAGAGGGAGAUCCCCCACACUGGUACUGAGACAGGGACCAGACUCCUACGGGAGGCAGCAGUGAGGAAUAUUGGUCAAUGGUCGGAAGACUGAACCAGCCAUGCCGCGUGCAGGAAGAAUGCCUUAUGGGUUGUAAACUGCUUUUAUAUGGGAAGAAUAAGGCGUACGUGUACGUUGAUGACGGUACCAUAUGAAUAAGCAUCGGCUAACUCCGUG